GACGAACGCUGGCGGCGUGCCUAAUACAUGCAAGUUGAGCGCUGAAGGUUGGUACUUGUACCAACUGGAUGAGCAGCGAACGGGUGAGUAACGCGUGGGGAAUCUGCCUUUGAGCGGGGGACAACAUUUGGAAACGAAUGCUAAUACCGCAUAAAAACUUUAAACACAAGUUUUAAGUUUGAAAGAUGCAAUUGCAUCACUCAAAGAUGAUCCCGCGUUGUAUUAGCUAGUUGGUGAGGUGAAGGCUCACCAAGGCGAUGAUACAUAGCCGACCUGAGAGGGUGAUCGGCCACAUUGGGACUGAGACACGGCCCAAACUCCUACGGGAGGCAGCAGUAGGGAAUCUUCGGCAAUGGACGAAAGUCUGACCGAGCAACGCCGCGUGAGUGAAGAAGGUUUUCGGAUCGUAAAACUCUGUUGGUAGAGAAGAACGUUGGUGAGAGUGGAAAGCUCAUCAAGUGACGGUAACUACCCAGAAAGGGACGGCUAACUACGUG
This 497-nucleotide ribosomal RNA is filed under the name uncultured bacterium. RNAcentral describes it as "partial 16S ribosomal RNA". It matches the Rfam family "Bacterial small subunit ribosomal RNA", at positions 28 to 507 of the family's 1533-position model. The record is from RNAcentral.